This 254-nucleotide ribosomal RNA is filed under the name uncultured bacterium. Its description in RNAcentral is "partial small subunit ribosomal RNA". It matches the Rfam family "Bacterial small subunit ribosomal RNA", at positions 26 to 285 of the family's 1533-position model. The record is from RNAcentral.
AGGAUGAACGCUGGCGGCGUGCUUAACACAUGCAAGUCGAACGGUGAAAGAGGAGCUUGCUCCUCUGGAUCAGUGGCGAACGGGUGAGUAACACGUGGGUUACCUGCCUCGAUGACCGGGACAACCCGAGGAAACUCGGGCUAAUACCGGAUGUGCCCGCAAGGGGAAAGGAAGCUUCGGCCUCCGCAUCGAGAUGGGCCCGCGGCCCAUUAGCUUGUUGGUGAGGUAAUGGCUCACCAAGGCUUCGAUGGGUA